This 368-nucleotide long non-coding RNA is filed under the name Carica papaya (papaya). RNAcentral's name for it is "long non-coding RNA (CPAP_LNC013167)". Lineage: Eukaryota; Viridiplantae; Streptophyta; Magnoliopsida; Brassicales; Caricaceae. The record is from RNAcentral.
GGAGAUUUUGCUUUCUGGUUGCAGAUUACACAAUCUUUUACUAAGAUUUUGGUUCUAGAAUAAGAGGAACGAAAUAAAAAAGAGAAUAGACGCUUUUAUCUACCAAUUACGCAACAUCAAAGCCGUUCAAAGACAUGCAAUACAUCCCGACCGUUGCUGGGAUGAAUGGCCGACCGGUGCAGAGAAACUCGAUUGCUGCACUUGACACCGGGGUAAAUUUGCAAAGUGGCAUCCCAGAUGGUUAAAAUUUGACCAUAUUUGAGAGAAUUAAUGGUGUCAACUUAGAGCACCGAUUGCUCUGGAUGCAGAUUAGUUUGAAGGCUUCUUCGGUGGGGAGUUUUCUCUUGGUGGAAAAUUUUUCUUUAAAU